RNAcentral lists this ribosomal RNA (478 nucleotides) under uncultured bacterium. RNAcentral's name for it is "bacterial SSU rRNA". It matches the Rfam family "Bacterial small subunit ribosomal RNA", at positions 28 to 507 of the family's 1533-position model. The record is from RNAcentral.
GAUGAACGCUGGCGGCGUGCUUAACACAUGCAAGUCGAACGGAAGUUUUAAGUGGAAGUUUUCGGAUGGAAAUUUAAAACUUUAGUGGCGGACGGGUGAGUAACGCGUGGGUAACCUGCCGUAUACAGGGGGAUAACACUUAGAAAUAGGUGCUAAUACCGCAUAAGCGCACAGUGUCGCAUGACACAGUGUGAAAAGCCUCGACGGUAUACGAUGGACCCGCGUCUGAUUAGCUAGUUGGUGAGGUAGAGGCUCACCAAGGCGACGAUCAGUAGCCGGCCUGAGAGGGUGACCGGCCACAUUGGGACUGAGACACGGCCCAAACUCCUACGGGAGGCAGCAGUGGGGAAUAUUGCACAAUGGGGGAAACCCUGAUGCAGCGACGCCGCGUGAGUGAAGAAGUAUUUCGGUAUGUAAAGCUCUAUCAGCAGGGAAGAAAAUGACGGUACCUGACUAAGAAGCCCCGGCUAACUACGUG